GAUGAACGCUGGCGGCGUGCCUAAUACAUGCAAGUCGAGCGAACGGACGAGAAGCUUGCUUCUCUGAUGUUAGCGGCGGACGGGUGAGUAACACGUGGAUAACCUACCUAUAAGACUGGGAUAACUUCGGGAAACCGUAGCUAAUACCGGAUAAUAUUUUGAACCGCAUGGUUCAAAAGUGAAAGACGGUCUUGCUGUCACUUAUAGAUGGAUCCACGCUGCAUUAGCUAGUUGGUAAGGUAACGGCUUACCAAGGCAACGAUGCAUAGCCGACCUGAGAGGGUGAUCGGCCACACUGGAACUGAGACACGGUCCAGACUCCUACGGGAGGCAGCAGUAGGGAAUCUUCCGCAAUGGGCGCAAGCCUGACGGAGCAACGCCGCGUGAGUGAUGAAGGUCUUCGGAUCGUAAAACCCUGUUAUUGGGAAAGAAAAUAUGUGUAAGAAACUGUGCACAUCUUGACGGUACCUAAUCAAAAAGCAACGGCUAACUUCGUG
Molecule: ribosomal RNA, 497 nt
Filed under: uncultured bacterium
Lineage: Bacteria
Description: partial 16S ribosomal RNA
Rfam family: Bacterial small subunit ribosomal RNA
Source: RNAcentral